Molecule: ribosomal RNA, 110 nt
Filed under: uncultured eukaryote
Lineage: Eukaryota
Description: partial small subunit ribosomal RNA
Source: RNAcentral
UCGCUCCUACUGAUUGAGUGACCCGGUAAAUAAUUUUGGAUCAUAAUGUCGCUCAGCUCCAGAGCAAUGCUGUGCAAAGUUUGGUGAACCUUGUCACUUAGAGGAAGGAG